GUGCAAACUCAAUCACUGUCUCUGCAUGAUGUGGCAGGAGCUCAGGAAACCAGGUUUGCUAAAGUAAUCAUGGCGAUAGGAAUGUAUUCGCCUCAGAUGUUACUGAGGUUGCCCAUUCUAUUCUAGUACAGGA
Molecule: small nucleolar RNA, 133 nt
Organism: Otolemur garnettii (small-eared galago)
Lineage: Eukaryota; Metazoa; Chordata; Mammalia; Primates; Galagidae
Source: Ensembl